Cinara cedri is the source of this 392-nucleotide non-coding RNA. The record is from the annotation of a GenBank genome assembly. Lineage: Eukaryota; Metazoa; Arthropoda; Insecta; Hemiptera; Aphididae.
GAAAAAACAACUUUUUGUAAGAGGGUUAUUUCCGUAUUAAAUCAAAUGAAUCAAUUAAUACUGUUUUAGGGUUUUGAUAUAAAUUACACGAUAUAAAAGCAUUUAUUUUUUUUUAUUUUUCCAACUCUUAAAAAAACUUUAUUUAUUGCGCUUUGGUAAAGUUUGACAGCUUAAAAGUCCAAGAAAUUUUUCACGUCAAUUUUCCCAACCACUUAUUUUUCUAGCAUAGUGUCACACGUUAUGCAAUGAUUUCUUUUCUCAAUGGCUUUCACUCUGCAUACUUAUAAAAUCAAUAGAAAUAUUUACCAUCUCAUUUCAAAAAGAAUGUUUUAAUAAUUUAGUUUUAUGAAAAAUGUAUGGAAAUAAAAUCUAUUUUAAGCGUAUACUAACGG